RNAcentral lists this ribosomal RNA (769 nucleotides) under Staphylococcus chromogenes. RNAcentral describes it as "bacterial SSU rRNA". It matches the Rfam family "Bacterial small subunit ribosomal RNA", at positions 59 to 812 of the family's 1533-position model. The record is from RNAcentral. Lineage: Bacteria; Bacillati; Bacillota; Bacilli; Caryophanales; Staphylococcaceae.
CAGUCGAGCGAACUGACGAGGAGCUUGCUCCUUUGACGUUAGCGGCGGACGGGUGAGUAACACGUGGGUAACCUACCUAUAAGACUGGAAUAACUCCGGGAAACCGGGGCUAAUGCCGGAUAACAUAUCGAACCGCAUGGUUCGAUAGUGAAAGACGGUCUUGCUGUCACUUAUAGAUGGACCCGCGCCGUAUUAGCUAGUUGGUGAGGUAACGGCUCACCAAGGCAACGAUACGUAGCCGACCUGAGAGGGUGAUCGGCCACACUGGAACUGAGACACGGUCCAGACUCCUACGGGAGGCAGCAGUAGGGAAUCUUCCGCAAUGGGCGAAAGCCUGACGGAGCAACGCCGCGUGAGUGAUGAAGGUCUUCGGAUCGUAAAGCUCUGUUGUUAGGGAAGAACAAAUGUGUAAGUAACUGUGCACAUCUUGACGGUACCUAACCAGAAAGCCACGGCUAACUACGUGCCAGCAGCCGCGGUAAUACGUAGGUGGCAAGCGUUAUCCGGAAUUAUUGGGCGUAAAGCGCGCGUAGGCGGUUUUUUAAGUCUGAUGUGAAAGCCCACGGCUCAACCGUGGAGGGUCAUUGGAAACUGGAAAACUUGAGUGCAGAAGAGGAAAGUGGAAUUCCAUGUGUAGCGGUGAAAUGCGCAGAGAUAUGGAGGACACCAGUGGCCGAAGGCUGCUUUCUGGUCUGUAACUGACGCUGAUGUGCGAAAGCGUGGAGAUCAACAUGAUUAGAUACCCUGGUAGUCCACGCCGUAACGAUGA